This 763-nucleotide ribosomal RNA is filed under the name uncultured Streptococcus sp. Its description in RNAcentral is "bacterial SSU rRNA". It matches the Rfam family "Bacterial small subunit ribosomal RNA", at positions 28 to 776 of the family's 1533-position model. Lineage: Bacteria; Bacillati; Bacillota; Bacilli; Lactobacillales; Streptococcaceae. The record is from RNAcentral.
GACGAACGCUGGCGGCGUGCCUAAUACAUGCAAGUAGAACGCUGAAGGAGGAGCUUGCUUCUCUGGAUGAGUUGCGAACGGGUGAGUAACGCGUAGGUAACCUGCCUGGUAGCGGGGGAUAACUAUUGGAAACGAUAGCUGAUACCGCAUAAGAGUAGAUGUUGCAUGACAUUUGCUUAAAAGGUGCAAAUGCAUCACUACCAGAUGGACCUGCGUUGUAUUAGCUAGUUGGUGGGGUAACGGCUCACCAAGGCGACGAUACAUAGCCGACCUGAGAGGGUGAUCGGCCACACUGGGACUGAGACACGGCCCAGACUCCUACGGGAGGCAGCAGUAGGGAAUCUUCGGCAAUGGACGGAAGUCUGACCGAGCAACGCCGCGUGAGUGAAGAAGGUUUUCGGAUCGUAAAGCUCUGUUGUAAGAGAAGAACGAGUGUGAGAGUGGAAAGUUCACACUGUGACGGUAUCUUACCAGAAAGGGACGGCUAACUACGUGCCAGCAGCCGCGGUAAUACGUAGGUCCCGAGCGUUGUCCGGAUUUAUUGGGCGUAAAGCGAGCGCAGGCGGUUAGAUAAGUCUGAAGUUAAAGGCUGUGGCUUAACCAUAGUAGGCUUUGGAAACUGUUUAACUUGAGUGCAAGAGGGGAGAGUGGAAUUCCAUGUGUAGCGGUGAAAUGCGUAGAUAUAUGGAGGAACACCGGUGGCGAAAGCGGCUCUCUGGCUUGUAACUGACGCUGAGGCUCGAAAGCGUGGGGAGCAAACAGG